GUCAAAAGAUGGGCGCUAAAUUCCAAUACAAUAGGGGUCUAUUAGUUCAAGUCAAAUACCAAGACUACUUCUUUCUCAGGAAGUGCGCCAAAUACCUCCGAUCUCUACCGCAGGUGCCAAAGAAGAAUGAGAAGAAGCCCAAAAAAAAGUAAAAAAGAACACUAGGGUGAAUAUUGCAGACCAGCGAAUCUGGUGGUCGACAAUCGUUCGGACUUGGUAAAGGUGUCGUAAGAGUUUAGGUACGACUUUCAAAGCGACUCUCGACGGGAGAAUC
Molecule: long non-coding RNA, 274 nt
Filed under: Brassica napus (rape)
Lineage: Eukaryota; Viridiplantae; Streptophyta; Magnoliopsida; Brassicales; Brassicaceae
Description: long non-coding RNA (BNAP_LNC004351)
Source: RNAcentral